RNAcentral lists this non-coding RNA (247 nucleotides) under Bacteroidales bacterium KA00251. The record is from RNAcentral. RNAcentral also lists the same sequence under 1 other name. Lineage: Bacteria; Pseudomonadati; Bacteroidota; Bacteroidia; Bacteroidales.
UUGCAGAGGAAAGCAGAAGGUGUCGCCUCUUCGGUUCUGAGGAGUGUGAUGAAAAGGGAAGAGAGGUGUAAAUCCUCCGCAGUCCCGCUGCCGUGUUUCCUGUAAUUGCUUGGGAAGUAUAUCUAUAACCCAUUCCCUCUAGUCUCUAUUUUUGAGACUAGUUGCCUGAAAGUAGGAGAAUGAGGGGAGAAGGGGCACUAUCCAAGCAGGGAAAAGCCGGAAGACCUGCCUUCUCUGUUUAAUCAUC